RNAcentral lists this non-coding RNA (745 nucleotides) under Pongo abelii (Sumatran orangutan). The record is from RNAcentral. Lineage: Eukaryota; Metazoa; Chordata; Mammalia; Primates; Hominidae.
AGCAGUGUGGAGCACAAAGAAUCCCUAAUCCCUGACAUUAAGAAAGAAGAAAAAUAUUCCUAGGACGAUCCUGGAGAGCAAAGGUCAUUAGCAGUCACUUGACUUUCCUUGGAUUUCUCAACUGCAGUAGUCACACGGUCUGCUGAAAAUGAAUUCUCUUUAUUUUCAUCUGAUUUCAAGGAAUUAUGGUUUUCAGUGAUUUCUUCAUUUGGAUCUAUUUUGAGACAGAGUAAUAGCAUUAAAACCCCCUUCUGAAUUAAUAAGGUAAGAUGGGCUUAAAAUCACCCAAUUCAAUUCACUAUUGGAUUCUUUGGAGCUGUUAAUCUAUUCAGUGAAAAGAACAAGAACUUUGGAGCUCAAGAUUUAACUAUGGCUCCAUCACUGACCUUGAGCAUUUGUUGCUGAAACGCAAAGUGUGACAAGCCAAUGGAGAGACAGGAUCUCACUUUUUUUGCCCACUACUGGGCUCAAGCGAUCCUCCUGCCUCCAUCUCAAUCUCCCCAAGUGCUGGGAUUACAGCCAUGAGCCACCAUGCCCAGCCCCAGCUCGCAACUUUCUGUGUGACCUCAGAUAGGAGGUUCUUCAACUGUCAGCUACACAUCCAUCCCUGCUACUUUCUUCAUUGCCUCCACAAUUUCUAUAAGGAAAAAGCAAAAUCUGCAUAUCUGCAAAAUUAGUGCCACGUAGAUGCUGCCAAAGGGUUUUCUGCCUGUGCCCUCUGGAGGGGUGACAUCACAUCCCCCAC